GCAAACUUGGUCAUUUAGAGGAAGUAAAAGUCGUAACAAGGUAACCGUAGGUGAACCUGCGGUUGGAUCAUUAUUUAAUAUUUAUGGGGCCAUUGCUAUAAUUGGUGGUGGUCUUGUAUGCAUCCCAACCACGCGAACAGUUUUUUUGUUGUUGUAUAUUUGGCCUAGCCCCACCAAUUUUUGUAAUGAGUUUAUUGUUUAAAAGGGCAAUAAACUCUUGGGGCUUUUGUGCCGAAUAAUUACAACACACAUUGCCAUUAAACCCAAAAUAAUGUUUUAAACAACAAUAAACAAUAAGCCUUGCUCGAUUGCCAUUGGCAAUGAUGCAAAUUGAUGUAUAAUGCUGAAAACAACUUUUGACAAUGGAUCUCUUGGCUCUCGCAUCGAUGAAGAACGCAGC
RNAcentral lists this unclassified non-coding RNA (400 nucleotides) under uncultured fungus. RNAcentral's name for it is "partial contains small subunit ribosomal RNA, internal transcribed spacer 1, and 5.8S ribosomal RNA". The stretch from base 1 to 73 matches the Rfam family "Eukaryotic small subunit ribosomal RNA", at positions 1759 to 1831 of the family's 1831-position model. The record is from RNAcentral. Lineage: Eukaryota; Fungi.